UCAGUGGGGGAAGCUACCAUGCAGUCGAACGGUAACAGGAAGCAGCUUGCUGCUUUUGCUGACGAGUGGCGGACGGGUGAGUAAUGUCUGGGAAACUGCCUGAUGGAGGGGGAUAACUACUGGAAACGGUAGCUAAUACCGCAUAACGUCGCAAGACCAAAGAGGGGGACCUUAGGGCCUCUUGCCAUCGGAUGUGCCCAGAUGGGAUUAGCUAGUAGGUGGGGUAACGGCUCACCUAGGCGACGAUCCCUAGCUGGUCUGAGAGGAUGACCAGCCACACUGGAACUGAGACACGGUCCAGACUCCUACGGGAGGCAGCAGUGGGGAAUAUUGCACAAUGGGCGCAAGCCUGAUGCAGCCAUGCCGCGUGUAUGAAGAAGGCCUUCGGGUUGUAAAGUACUUUCAGCGGGGAGGAAGGGAGUAAAGUUAAUACCUUUGCUCAUUGACGUUACCCGCAGAAGAAGCACCGGCUAACUCCGUGCCAGCAGCCGCGGUAAUACGGAGGGUGCAAGCGUUAAUCGGAAUUACUGGGCGUAAAGCGCACGCAGGCGGUUUGUUAAGUCAGAUGUGAAAUCCCCGGGCUCAACCUGGGAACUGCAU
Molecule: ribosomal RNA, 600 nt
Filed under: Escherichia coli
Lineage: Bacteria; Pseudomonadati; Pseudomonadota; Gammaproteobacteria; Enterobacterales; Enterobacteriaceae
Description: bacterial SSU rRNA
Rfam family: Bacterial small subunit ribosomal RNA
Source: RNAcentral